GUCUGAGAAACUAAGCCGGGUUAGGGCUCAGUUGGAAGACCAUCUGGGACUACCAGGUCUUUUAAGGUA
Molecule: ribosomal RNA, 69 nt
Filed under: Oryzias latipes (Japanese medaka)
Lineage: Eukaryota; Metazoa; Chordata; Actinopteri; Beloniformes; Adrianichthyidae
Source: RNAcentral